CCCAUUUUCAGCGUGUAUUUUAGUGGUUUUUUUUUCAAAACGGUAACACCUAUACAUGAUAUUUGAUAUUCAUUGUGAAACCCUACAUUCUCUUCUUCAGUUCAAAGAUGUAUUACUUAAUAUGUAAAGUUUAUCUUCUUGUCUUUACAAGCCUAUAACAUAGACCCAAUAUGAAAUGCACAUCUGAUCUUGGCUAGGCCGAGAG
This 205-nucleotide long non-coding RNA is filed under the name Mytilus galloprovincialis (Mediterranean mussel). Lineage: Eukaryota; Metazoa; Mollusca; Bivalvia; Mytilida; Mytilidae. The record is from RNAcentral.